UCCGGCUUAUCACCGGCGGUUUCCUUAGAGUGCCCAACUAAAUGGUAGCAACUAAGGACGAGGGUUGCGCUCGUUGCGGGACUUAACCCAACAUCCCACGACACGAGCUGACGACAGCCAUGCAGCACCUGUGCACGGACUCCGAAGAGGGGCCGAUGUUUCCACCGGCUUUCCCGUGCAUGUCAAGCCCAGGUAAGGUUCUUCGCGUUGCUUCGAAUUAAACCACAUGCUCCACCGCUUGUGCGGGCCCCCGUCAAUUCCUUUGAGUUUCAGCCUUGCGGCCAUACUCCCCAGGCGGCGAACUUAACGCGUUAGCUUCGAUACUGAGGGCCAAGUUGCCCCCAACAUCCAGUUCGCAUCGUUUAGGGCGUGGACUAC
RNAcentral lists this unclassified non-coding RNA (378 nucleotides) under uncultured bacterium. RNAcentral's name for it is "contains 16S-23S intergenic spacer region". The record is from RNAcentral.